This 253-nucleotide ribosomal RNA is filed under the name uncultured bacterium. RNAcentral's name for it is "partial 16S ribosomal RNA". It matches the Rfam family "Bacterial small subunit ribosomal RNA", at positions 524 to 776 of the family's 1533-position model. The record is from RNAcentral.
UACGAAGGGGGCUAGCGUUGCUCGGAAUUACUGGGCGUAAAGCGCACGUAGGCGGCUUCUUAAGUCGGUGGUGAAAUCCUGGAGCUCAACUCCAGAACUGCCUUCGAUACUGGGAAGCUCGAGUCCGGGAGAGGUGAGUGGAACUGCGAGUGUAGAGGUGAAAUUCGUAGAUAUUCGCAAGAACACCAGUGGCGAAGGCGGCUCACUGGCCCGGUACUGACGCUGAGGCACGAAAGCGUGGGGAGCAAACAGG